UCCCUAUCUGCCGUGGGCGUUGGAAGAUUGAAGGGGGCUGCUCCUAGUACGAGAGGACCGGAGUGGACGAACCUCUGGUGUUCGGGUUGUGUCGCCAGACGCAUUGCCCGGUAGCUAAGUUCGGAAUUGAUAAGCGCUGAAAGCAUCUAAGCGCGAAGCGAGCCCUGAGAUGAGUCUUCCCUGACAGUUUAACUGUCCUAAAGGGUUGUUCGAGACUAGAACGUUGAUAGGCAGGGUGUGUAAGCGUUGUGAGGCGUUGAGCUAACCUGUACUAAUUGCCCGUGAGGCUUAACCAUACAACACCCAAGGGGUUUUGUA
RNAcentral lists this ribosomal RNA (318 nucleotides) under Vibrio cholerae. RNAcentral's name for it is "partial 23S ribosomal RNA". It matches the Rfam family "Bacterial large subunit ribosomal RNA", at positions 2635 to 2925 of the family's 2925-position model. The record is from RNAcentral. Lineage: Bacteria; Pseudomonadati; Pseudomonadota; Gammaproteobacteria; Vibrionales; Vibrionaceae.